AUCAGNNAGCAGCAGGCGCGCAAAUUACCCACUCCCGGCACGGGGAGGUAGUGACGAAAAAUAACGAUACGGGACUCAUCCGAGGCCCCGUAAUCGGAAUGAGCACACUUUAAACCCUUUAACGAGUAUCCAUUGGAGGGCAAGUCUGGUGCCAGCAGCCGCGGUAAUUCCAGCUCCAAUAGCGUAUAUUAAAGUUGUUGCGGUUAAAAAGCUCGUAGUUGGAUUUGUGUCCCACGCUGUCGGUUCACCGUUCGUCGGUGUUUAACUGGCAUGCCCGUGUGGACGUCCUGCCGGUGGAUGCGGUCGGCCGUAGGCUUCGGUCUGCGUGUCGGCGGUCCGAUGCAAUCCUACCACGGUGCUCUUUACCGAGUGUCGAGGUGGGCCGGCACGUUUACUUUGAACAAAUUAGAGUGCUCAAAGCAGGCAGUGGUUCGCCUGAAUAUUGUGUGCAUGGAAUAAUGGAAUAGGACCUCGGUUCUAUUUUGUUGGUUUUCGGAACUUGAGGUAAUGAUUAAUAGGGACAAACGGGGGCAUUCGUAUUGCGACGUUAGAGGUGAAAUUCUUGGAUCGUCGCAAGACGAACCUAAGCGAAAGCAUUUGCCAUGAGUGUUUUCAUUAAUCAAGAACGAAAGUUAGAGGUUCGAAGGCGAUCAGAUACCGCCCUAGUUCUAACCAUAAACGAUGCCAGCUAGCGAUCCGCCGAAGUUCCUCCGAUGACUCGGCGGGCAGCUUCCGGGAAACCAAAGCUUUUGGGUUCCGGGGGAAGUAUGGUUGCAAAGCUGAAACUUAAAGGAAUUGACGGAAGGGCACCACCAGGAGUGGAGCCUGCGGCUUAAUUUGACUCAACACGGGAAACCUCACCAGGCCCGGACACCGGAAGGAUUGACAGAUUGACAGCUCUUUCUUGAUUCGGUGGGUGGUGGUGCAUGGCCGUUCUUAGUUGNNGGAGCGAUUGNNAAA
This 960-nucleotide ribosomal RNA is filed under the name Orthomeria kangi. RNAcentral describes it as "SSU rRNA". It matches the Rfam family "Eukaryotic small subunit ribosomal RNA", at positions 414 to 1317 of the family's 1831-position model. Lineage: Eukaryota; Metazoa; Arthropoda; Insecta; Phasmatodea; Aschiphasmatidae. The record is from RNAcentral.